RNAcentral lists this ribosomal RNA (242 nucleotides) under uncultured bacterium. RNAcentral's name for it is "partial 16S ribosomal RNA". It matches the Rfam family "Bacterial small subunit ribosomal RNA", at positions 89 to 334 of the family's 1533-position model. The record is from RNAcentral.
CGGCGAGCGGCGGACGGGUGAGUAAAGUCUGGGAAACUGCCUGAUGGAGGGGAUAACCACUGGAAACGGUGGCUAAUACCGCAUAAUGUUGCGAGACCAAAGAGGGGGACUUUCGGGCCUCUCGCCAUCAGAUGUGCCCCAGAUGGGAUUAGCCAGUUGGUGAGGUAAUGGCUCACCAAAGCGACGAUCCCUAGCUGGUCUGAGAGGAUGACCAGCCACACUGGAACUGAGACACGGUCCAG